UGGUGAAAUGGUCGAGUUUAGGCAAUGAAUUGUAGCUUCAUCUACAGAAUUUAUUUUCUUUUUACCAG
This 68-nucleotide transfer RNA is filed under the name Sypharochiton sinclairi. Its description in RNAcentral is "tRNA-Tyr". Lineage: Eukaryota; Metazoa; Mollusca; Polyplacophora; Chitonida; Chitonidae. The record is from RNAcentral.